CGGACGGGUGAGUAACACGUGGAUAACCUACCUAUAAGACUGGGAUAACUUCGGGAAACCGGAGCUAAUACCGGAUAAUAUUUUGAACCGCAUGGUUCAAAAGUGAAAGACGGUCUUGCUGUCACUUAUAGAUGGAUCCGCGCUGCAUUAGCUAGUUGGUAAGGUAACGGCUUACCAAGGCGACGAUACAUAGCCGACCUGAGAGGGUGAUCGGCCACACUGGGACUGAGACACGGCCCAG
This 241-nucleotide ribosomal RNA is filed under the name uncultured Staphylococcus sp. RNAcentral describes it as "partial 16S ribosomal RNA". It matches the Rfam family "Bacterial small subunit ribosomal RNA", at positions 99 to 334 of the family's 1533-position model. The record is from RNAcentral. Lineage: Bacteria; Bacillati; Bacillota; Bacilli; Caryophanales; Staphylococcaceae.